This 458-nucleotide ribosomal RNA is filed under the name uncultured bacterium. RNAcentral's name for it is "bacterial SSU rRNA". It matches the Rfam family "Bacterial small subunit ribosomal RNA", at positions 30 to 469 of the family's 1533-position model. The record is from RNAcentral.
AUUGAACGCUGGCGGCAGGCCUAACACAUGCAAGUCGAGCGGAAACGAGUUAUCUGAACCUUCGGGGAACGAUAACGGCGUCGAGCGGCGGACGGGUGAGUAAUGCCUAGGAAUUGCCCUGAUGGUGGGGGAUAACCAUUGGAAACGAUGGCUAAUACCGCAUAAUGCCGUACGGGCCAAAGAGGGGGACCUUCGGGCCUCUCGCGUCAGGAUAUGCCUAGGUGGAUUAGCUAGUUGGUGAGGUAAUGGCUCACCAAGGCGACGAUCCCUAGCUGGUCUGAGAGGAUGAUCAGCCACACUGGAACUGAGACACGGUCCAGACUCCUACGGGAGGCAGCAGUGGGGAAUAUUGCACAAUGGGCGCAAGCCUGAUGCAGCCAUGCCGCGUGUGUGAAGAAGGCCUUCGGGUUGUAAAGCACUUUCAGUCGUGAGGAAGGUGGUAGUGUUAAUAGCACUAU